This 964-nucleotide non-coding RNA is filed under the name Lyncina vitellus. RNAcentral describes it as "12S ribosomal RNA". The stretch from base 223 to 964 matches the Rfam family "Microsporidia small subunit ribosomal RNA". Lineage: Eukaryota; Metazoa; Mollusca; Gastropoda; Littorinimorpha; Cypraeidae. The record is from RNAcentral.
UUGGGGCCCUUGUAUUAAGGUUGUAGCUAUUUGAAACCUUUUUUUACACUACAAAUAAAGUAAGCGAUAUCAGGCUUUUAGAAUAAGGCUUGGCUCUGACCUGUAUAUAUAGUAUGGAUUAAGAAUAACACAUGAUUUUUAUAGAAGGAGGCGAGGAAGAGGACAUUAGAGAUUGGGGGUAGUAUACCAACACCGGCUCUAGUCUUCUUAGGUAUUAUAAAGGACAUGAUGCUUUGUAAAGUCCCGCUAACAUCAGUGUUUAAUGUUAAGGAAAAGAGGAAAUUCUGAAUUAGUUUAGUACUAGAGGCCUGGUAAACUUGGUGCCAGCAUCCGCGGUUAGACCAAGACGGCCGAAUUAUAUUAUUUAGGUUGAAAAGGCAGUUAAGCAGAGGCUUAAGUUAAAUAAUUGUUUAUCAGAAGGUGAAAUUUGAACAUAAACAAAUAAAUCAUAGAAUACUGUCGAAGCUGAAUCUGCGACAGUUCCUAGGGAAACUGGGAUUAGAUACCCCACUAUUACUUACUGUAAAUUGACUAUGUUUACCUGAGUACUACGAACGUAUAAAAUUUAAAACUCAAAGAGCUUGGCGGUGUUUUAGACCACUUAGGGGAACCUGUCUCGUAAUCGAAAAUCCACGUUAGACCUAACCUUUCUUUGUGCUCAGUCUGUAUACCGUCGUCGUCAGGUAACUUUAAAGAAUAUAGAAGUUGGCCAAAAAACUGUCAUUAGUUUAGACGUCAGAUCAAGGUGCAACUUAUAGAAAGGAGAGGAUGGGUUACAAUUAACAUUCAUAAUACGAAAAGAAGGUUGAAAUGUUCCAAUUGGAAGGAGGACUUAAAAGUAAGAAUGAAAUUAUAAAAAUUUCCUGAAUUUGGCUCUGAAACGUGCACACAUCGCCCGUCGCUCUCGUUGAAAAAUGAGAUAAGUCGUAACAUAGUAGGGGUAAUGGAAAUUGUUCCUGGAUGA